CGAUUUCUACACUCAACUUUGCCGUUGGUGUUGAUGGGAAUCCACAACCUUGUUACUUCCGCUAUUUUUGGAUUGAGGUAAUAGUAUUUACGUUAUUUUAUACAUGUGAUUUACCUCUGUUAUAAAUCCUCGAGUACUGUGUGUGUCAGCAUACCGAUCCAGAGAUGACACUUAAGCACAGAGACUUGAUCCAUUCGGGUCGGGUCGCUACAGGACCCGCCCUUCUUCACGUCUCGUGCAACAAGGGUGAUCGACGCGGACUACCGUUGCCUGGUGGGCGUCGUGCUCUUCAACCACUCGGAGGUGGGCUUCGCCGUGAAGCCCAGCGACCGCGUCGCACAGAUGAUCGUCCAGGUGAUCGUGACGCCGGAGGUCGCCGAGGUAGAGGACCUCGAUACCAUCGUUUGGGGGGAGGGAGGAUUGGGGUCCACCAGCAUCUGAACUCCGAGCCUUGGUAGAUACAUCUAGAGAAGUGGUAUGUUUAGGCUGCUGGUGGAACACUAGGAAAGGUACCCACCUUUGGUUGUGUGCGUUUACUGUUAAAUGGAAUCACGUGAUCUCUUGCAGUUGAGAUGUUCAAUGUUGCAUCCAUGAAUGGUGCAAGUGUUAAUAUGGUCCUGUGACCUUAAUUUAUUUUGCACUGGACG
This is a long non-coding RNA of Aegilops tauschii subsp. strangulata, 647 nucleotides long. RefSeq lists it as uncharacterized. Lineage: Eukaryota; Viridiplantae; Streptophyta; Magnoliopsida; Poales; Poaceae. The record is from RefSeq and is a predicted model, not a curated record.